AACGAACGCUGGCGGCAGGCUUAACACAUGCAAGUCGAGCGCCCCGCAAGGGGAGCGGCAGACGGGUGAGUAACACGUGGGAAUCUACCCAUCCCUACGGAACAACUCCGGGAAACUGGAGCUAAUACCGUAUACGCCCUUCGGGGGAAAGAUUUAUCGGGGAUGGAUGAGCCCGCGUUGGAUUAGCUAGUUGGUGGGGUAAAGGCCUACCAAGGCGACGAUCCAUAGCUGGUCUGAGAGGAUGAUCAGCCACAUUGGGACUGAGACACGGCCAAAACUCCUAGGGGGGGCACCAGUGGGGAAUAUUGGACAAUGGCCGCAAGCUUGACCCACCCAGGCCGCGUGAGUGAUGAGGGCCUUAGGGUUGUAAAGCUCUUUCACCGAUGAAGAUAAUGACGGUAGUCGGAAAAGAAGCCCCGCCUAACUUCGUGCCAGCCGCCGCCGUAA
This 447-nucleotide ribosomal RNA is filed under the name uncultured bacterium. RNAcentral's name for it is "partial 16S ribosomal RNA". It matches the Rfam family "Bacterial small subunit ribosomal RNA", at positions 29 to 523 of the family's 1533-position model. The record is from RNAcentral.